AAGCACUGCCUUUGAACCUCGUGUGUCUUGUUUGUAGCUUCACUGGCCAAGCAACAGUGCUAGAGCAUAAGGACUUGUUAUAACUGGGGUUCUUCAGCUCUCAACUGCUCUUUUAACAACAAGAUACAUUU
Amazona collaria (yellow-billed parrot) is the source of this 131-nucleotide small nucleolar RNA. Lineage: Eukaryota; Metazoa; Chordata; Aves; Psittaciformes; Psittacidae. The record is from Ensembl.